GUGGGGAAUAUUGGACAAUGGGCGAAAGCCUGAUCCAGCCAUGCCGCGUGUGUGAAGAAGGUCUUCGGAUUGUAAAGCACUUUAAGUUGGGAGGAAGGGCAGUAAGUUAAUACCUUGCUGUUUUGACGUUACCGCCAGAAUAAGCACCGGCUAACUUCGUGCCAGCAGCCGCGGUAAUACGAAGGGUGCAAGAGUUAAUCGGAAUUACUGGGCGUAAAGCGCGCGUAGGUGGUUUUGUAAGUUGGAGGUGAAAUCCCCGGGCUCAACCUGGGAACUGCCUCCAAAACUGCAUGACUAGAGUACGGUAGAGGGUAGUGGAAUUUCCUGUGUAGCGGUGAAAUGCGUAGAUAUAGGAAGGAACACCAGUGGCGAAGGCGACUACCUGGACUGAUACUGACACUGAGGUGCGAAAGCGUGGGGAGCAAACAGGAUUAGAUACCCCGGUAGUCC
Molecule: ribosomal RNA, 450 nt
Filed under: uncultured bacterium
Lineage: Bacteria
Description: partial 16S ribosomal RNA
Rfam family: Bacterial small subunit ribosomal RNA
Source: RNAcentral